This 253-nucleotide ribosomal RNA is filed under the name uncultured bacterium. RNAcentral's name for it is "partial 16S ribosomal RNA". It matches the Rfam family "Bacterial small subunit ribosomal RNA", at positions 524 to 776 of the family's 1533-position model. The record is from RNAcentral.
UACAGAGGUCUCGAGCGUUGUUCGGAUUCAUUGGGCGUAAAGGGCGUGUAGGCGGGGUUGUAAGUCGGGGGUGAAAUUUCGGAGCUUAACUCCGAAACUGCAUUCGAUACUGCGGUGCUUGAGGACUGGAGAGGAGACUGGAAUUCAUGGUGUAGCAGUGAAAUGCGUAGAGAUCAGGAGGAAGACCAGUGGCGAAGGCGGGUCUCUGGACAGUUCCUGACACUGAGACACGAAGGCCAGGGGAGCAAACGGG